Long non-coding RNA from Monomorium pharaonis (pharaoh ant), 790 nucleotides. RefSeq lists it as uncharacterized. NCBI's taxonomy places the organism in Eukaryota, Metazoa, Arthropoda, Insecta, Hymenoptera, Formicidae. The transcript is spliced from 3 exons. The record is from RefSeq and is a predicted model, not a curated record.
AAUCCUGCACCGCGUGAUCCAGUCUACGAUCGCACGUAGGACUGCGAGGAACGGCAGGUUCCUGUAGGUCUGAGUGAUCUUGAAGAUUGAAAGCUCAAAGUGUUCUCAUGUAAUAACGUUUGUAAUCGAAAAUAGAUUACCUUAUUAUAACGGCAAAAUACGCAAUUAAUUCGUGAUAAUCCAAGCGUUUAGCUGUCCAUAUCGGUCAAAAAAAUGCCACAAGCGGGCCACGAGACGACGAACCUUCUGAUGACGUACCUCAUUCUUAUUCUUCUAUUAAUCUCGCUUUGGGUAUUAUACUCGGGGUUGUUUUUUUAAGCACAACAGACAUUCCUCACCAUGGGUUGAAUAAGAGAGAAAACACGUGUCAAAAGGAUGCAUUCAGAGGAGCCAAGAUCGUCACGGACACUUUGCGUUCAGAGUUCACCAGUUCUCAUUUAUUACAUUUUCUACAAACUAGGCGCCUGGAGACAUGUGCUACGCAAAUCACCUUUGACUGUUUAGUGUGUCCGAUUUCCGCGAUGGAAGUUAUUCAAAAGUAUAUUUAUCGGGCAGUAAGAAGAAUUUUGAAAGUUUGUUUCUCCAUCGUGUCUCGCUUCAAUUUCUUUGUUACUUCGUCGUGGAAAUCGGUUAUCUUGAUUACAUCUUCUUCUUAGAUAACUAUAAAUACAUUAUCUGAAUACAAAGUAAUAUUUAUUCUAUCUCACGAGCGUACAUAGUGGUUACAAUUUGCAGCAUUAAAUUGUGUUCAUUUGAAGUCACCGAAAUAAAUAUGCCUGCUUGUUUCGUA